Molecule: long non-coding RNA, 1759 nt
Filed under: Cricetulus griseus (Chinese hamster)
Lineage: Eukaryota; Metazoa; Chordata; Mammalia; Rodentia; Cricetidae
Description: lncRNA (ENSCGRG00015031013.1)
Source: RNAcentral
UAACUAAAGACAAACUUAACUACUAAGAUCCUAAGCAGACAGCCCUCAAAUGCUCAGAGAUCUAGAGAAUAUGGCAUUUAAAAUGUUUUGUUAAAAAGCUUUUUAUAACAGAGAGAUAGGCCAGUUGCUGGUCCUACCCCAUUUCCUCCGAGAAGACUGAUGGGCACUGAAUAAGCUUCAUCUCGAGUCAGUGACAACGCUGGUCACUGAGCAACCCUGCCCUUCACCUCAACUGGUACAAAGUAUUCCAGACCAUGGACAAGAGGACAACGGAAUCGACUUUCCCGGCGUUGCUUGGGCCAACGGUAGGCGAGUCUUCCCAAAGUCUCUAAUCCACAGGUCGCAAGUUAUCAGCAAGAAGGCAGGUGUCCUGCAGCCCGCUACUAUGGAUGGAGGACCUUGGGGAUGGCUGUCCAUGCAGCCUGCUGGCAAGUCUCUGUUAUUCUUUAAUCAUUGAUUCAGGUAAAAUCUUAUCCUUCUCAAGAACUCUGAUGCUUUUGACGACUGAUAGUCUUGCCAACUUAAAGCAAAACAGAUUCCAGUAACAGGUAUUUUGGGGUUUAACUAUGUGAAGAUAGGAAAGUCUAAGAUGUAUAAAGGUCUGAGAAUGUAGUUACAAAGGCCUAAGGAUAUAAAGGCUUAAGUGAUGAUAAAAUAAGUCGAGACAUUAAGAGAAUAAAAUAUGUUCCUGACUUCUCUAUUUCUCAUGCUACUGUUCAUAAUAAAGUUCACCAAUAUCACUAUAUGAUCAUAACUACAAGGUCAAGAUUAAGAUGCUUUUCAUUGUCCAAAAAAAAAAAUCUGUCUGUUUUUAAAAUGGUAAUACUUUCAGCCAAGUUGCUUCUAACAUGAAUAUGCUUCUAACAUGUCUAAUACUUAUGUUUCCACAAACUCUAAGGAUUCUUGUAAGUUCCAGGGAGCUGAAUCAGAUCCAAACAGGUCAGGUUCACUCCAGGUCUAAGGCACCAGGGAGUUCCAUACAGCCUGGACUACAAUGAAGCAACCAGCUUCCCCAGGACGUGGCAGCAACCCAACCUUCUCGGGUCCCCCAAAGAUGGUCAACGCCCCCCAUGUCAGCAGGAAGCAGUCUUAAGAAGUCGACGCCCUUAUUCCUUAACCUGCCAUGUCUAAACACCCACCUUUUUUUAAUAAUAAGUAGAGGUGGGAAUGAAAGGUUCAGGCAUUAUGCUGGCCUGCCCGUUACCUGGUGGAAUCCACUCAGGCAAUACCCUGGUCAACCCAAGGUUCCAUGGGAAAGAAGUCUGUACGCAGGUGCAGAGGACCCCUUUAAAAGAUAGGCCCCUGCUCUCUCUCUCUCUCUCUCUCCCCCUGUUCCUGCUCUCUGUCCCCUCUCUCUGUUUCCCCGCUCUGUCUCUCUAUGGCGACCGGCCAUGGCGGUCAGCCAUUACCCUGUUCCUCCUCUUAGUCUCCCCAUUCUGCCGGUCCUUAUAAUAAACUUAUAGUCAAUAUGUCUGUCUCAAUAUUUCUCUUUUCUUCUUUUUAAACAAAAGAAUAACAGAGUGGACCUGGGGGAACCCCAUUUAGGUCAAAGACCCCCCAACCCCUGUGCUUCCAGAGCCUCCCAUGCUUCCUCCUAGUCUCUUCCACAUGUCAUCAUAACUGCUGUUCUGACUGUCAUUUGUUUAUUUGAUAUUUUGUUAGCCUGGGUUGACCUGAACUUGCUCUGUAGACCAUGUUAGCCUUAAACCCUCAGAGAUCCUCCUGACUCUGCCUCUUAAAUGCUGAGAUUAAAUGCCUG